Molecule: ribosomal RNA, 422 nt
Filed under: Catamicrophyllum caifanum
Lineage: Eukaryota; Metazoa; Arthropoda; Diplopoda; Julida; Julidae
Description: partial 16S ribosomal RNA
Source: RNAcentral
AUGUUAAUUAGAGUUUAAUUAAUUAUUUGACCUGCUCACUGUAAAAUAAAGAGCUGCAGUAUUUUGACUGUACAAAGGUAGCAUAAUCAUUAGUCUUUUAAUUAAUGGCUGGAAUGAAAGGUUAGACGAAGUUUUACUUUCUAGGGCUUAGUUAUUGAAGUUUUCUGUUUUGUUAAAAGACAAAAAUAUUAUUAAAAGACAAAAAGACCCUAUAAAACUUUAUUAAAUUUUAUAUCAUUUUUGGGUUUAUAUUAUUAAGAUUUWAAUUUUAAUUUUAUUGGGGCGAUAAAUAUGAUUCUAUAUUAAGACAAACCAGAUAGGGGAAUUUUUAUUUGAACUAAAAGGUUGUUAUUAGAAUAAGUUACUUUAGGGAUAACAGCGUAAUGUUUUUAGAGAGUUCUUAUUGACAAAARUGUUUGCGA